RNAcentral lists this ribosomal RNA (497 nucleotides) under uncultured bacterium. RNAcentral describes it as "partial 16S ribosomal RNA". It matches the Rfam family "Bacterial small subunit ribosomal RNA", at positions 28 to 507 of the family's 1533-position model. The record is from RNAcentral.
GAUGAACGCUGGCGGCGUGCCUAAUACAUGCAAGUCGAGCGAACAGACGAGGAGCUUGCUCCUCUGACGUUAGCGGCGGACGGGUGAGUAACACGUGGAUAACCUACCUAUAAGACUGGGAUAACUUCGGGAAACCGGAGCUAAUACCGGAUAAUAUAUCGAACCGCAUGGUUCAAUAGUGAAAGACGGCUUUGCUGUCACUUAUAGAUGGAUCCGCGCCGCAUUAACUAGUUGGUAAGGUAACGGCUUACCAAGGCAACGAUGCGUAGCCGACCUGAGAGGGUGAUCGGCCACACUGGAACUGAGACACGGUCCAGACUCCUACGGGAGGCAGCAGUAGGGAAUCUUCCGCAAUGGGCGAAAGCUUGACGGAGCAACGCCGCGGGAGUGAUGAAGGUCUUCGGAUCGUAAAACUCUGUUAUUAGGGAAGAACAAAUGUGUAAGUAACUAUGCACGUCUUGACGGUACCUAAUCAGAAAGCCACGGCUAACUACGUG